UACCACAAGGGGAGCUAAUGGCUGAGAGUGAACGUUGGAGUUCUGACCCUAUGAACCUGUUAGUUAAUGCUAGCGUAGGGAUGUGAUUAUG
This 91-nucleotide non-coding RNA is filed under the name Bacillus massilioanorexius. The record is from RNAcentral. Lineage: Bacteria; Bacillati; Bacillota; Bacilli; Caryophanales; Bacillaceae.